UGGGGAAUUUUGGACAAUGGGCGAAAGCCUGAUCCAGCAAUGCCGCGUGUGUGAAGAAGGCCUUCGGGUUGUAAAGCACUUUUGUCCGGAAAGAAAUCCUUGGCUCUAAUACAGUCGGGGGAUGACGGUACCGGAAGAAUAAGCACCGGCUAACUACGUGCCAGCAGCCGCGGUAAUACGUAGGGUGCAAGCGUUAAUCGGAAUUACUGGGCGUAAAGCGUGCGCAGGCGGUUUGCUAAGACCGGUGUGAAAUCCCCGGGCUCAACCUGGGAACUGCAUUGGUGACUGGCAGGCUAGAGUAUGGCAGAGGGGGGUAGAAUUCCACGUGUAGCAGUGAAAUGCGUAGAGAUGUGGAGGAAUACCGAUGGCGAAGGCAGCCCCCUGGGCCAAUACUGACGCUCAUGCACGAAAGCGUGGGGACAAACAGGAUUAGAUACCCUGGUAGUCCACGCCCCUAAAACGAUGUCAACUAGUUGUUGGGGGAUUCAUUUCCUUAGUAACGUAGCUAACGCGUGAAGUUGACCGCCUGGGGAGUACGGUCGCAAGAUUAAAACUC
RNAcentral lists this ribosomal RNA (556 nucleotides) under uncultured bacterium. RNAcentral describes it as "partial 16S ribosomal RNA". It matches the Rfam family "Bacterial small subunit ribosomal RNA", at positions 355 to 902 of the family's 1533-position model. The record is from RNAcentral.